Molecule: long non-coding RNA, 392 nt
Organism: Gasterosteus aculeatus aculeatus (three-spined stickleback)
Lineage: Eukaryota; Metazoa; Chordata; Actinopteri; Perciformes; Gasterosteidae
Source: Ensembl
CGGACUGGAGAGCGACACCCGAUGGGGGGUGGGGACUGGCACUCGGACAUGCACGGGUCAAGUGUUGGAGGAGAUUGCAGGAGGGUAACCUGGUCCCAUCUGGAGCUUAUCAGAGCCUGACCCGGUUUUGGCGUGCUACGUUCGCGCGCCGCUCCUUUGGGACCUGUUCCCUCCUCGUUGCUGACAAAGAGAAGAAGGCCACAGCCGUUCUAUCCCAGCUCAGACCCACAUACCUCGACUCAACCCGAGCCCAACAUCGCCGGAUCCUUCCUCACGCUGCCCGCUCCCAAGAAGUUGCUUACAUUACACUUCCUCCCUCCCUCUCUCAUUGUAGGUCACUUGGUCUACCUUCCUCCAUUUUGGAAAAGGGCUUGCGGGGAUAUUUUGCCCUA